RNAcentral lists this ribosomal RNA (117 nucleotides) under Candidatus Iainarchaeum sp. Lineage: Archaea; Nanobdellati; Candidatus Iainarchaeota; Candidatus Iainarchaeia; Candidatus Iainarchaeales; Candidatus Iainarchaeaceae. The record is from RNAcentral.
AUUAGCGGUCAUGCCGCAGGGGAAACACCUGGACUCUUUUCGAACCCAGAAGUUAAGACCUGCAGGGAUUGGUUUGGCACUGAGCUGCUGCUUGGAGCCUGCCAGACGCUGCUAAUC